CAGUCGCCGCGGUAAUACGAAGGGUGCAAGCGUUACUCGGAAUUACUGGGCGUAAAGCGUGCGUAGGUGGUGGUUUAAGUCCGUUGUGAAAGCCCUGGGCUCAACCUGGGAAUUGCAGUGGACACUGGGUCACUAGAGUGUGGUAGAGGAUAGUGGAAUUUCCGGUGUAGCAGUGAAAUGCGUAGAGAUCGGAAGGAACAUCUGUGGCGAAGGCGACUAUCUGGGCCAACACUGACACUGAGGCACGAAAGCGUGGGGAGCAAACAGGAUUAGAGACCCGCGUAGUCCCUGUCUCUUAUAC
RNAcentral lists this ribosomal RNA (301 nucleotides) under uncultured bacterium. RNAcentral's name for it is "partial 16S ribosomal RNA". It matches the Rfam family "Bacterial small subunit ribosomal RNA", at positions 509 to 807 of the family's 1533-position model. The record is from RNAcentral.